UGUCUGGGGUGUGCGGUAGCUUCUAUUAUGCGCUGAACCUACAUUUUCUGAUAGGGACGGAUCUAUAGAAUUAACUGGCUGACAUGCCCGCUUGACGGGACUUCAAAAGGUUGUGCGAUCGUACCCACCUGGUGUAAGCUAGGAUUCAGGGACUGAAGUCGGCAUUCCGGA
RNAcentral lists this non-coding RNA (171 nucleotides) under uncultured Eubacterium sp. RNAcentral describes it as "6S / SsrS RNA". It matches the Rfam family "6S / SsrS RNA". Rfam says of the family: E. coli 6S RNA was the first non coding RNA to be sequenced, but its function was unknown until recently. It consists of 184 nucleotides that fold into an extended hairpin structure with a large single-stranded internal bulge. The 6S RNA specifically associates with RNA polymerase holoenzyme containing the sigma70 specificity factor. Lineage: Bacteria; Bacillati; Bacillota; Clostridia; Eubacteriales; Eubacteriaceae. The record is from RNAcentral.